RNAcentral lists this ribosomal RNA (888 nucleotides) under uncultured Chloroflexota bacterium. RNAcentral describes it as "bacterial SSU rRNA". It matches the Rfam family "Bacterial small subunit ribosomal RNA", at positions 393 to 1312 of the family's 1533-position model. The record is from RNAcentral. Lineage: Bacteria; Bacillati; Chloroflexota.
GACGCGCGUGGGCGAUGAAGGGCUUCGGGUUGUAAAGCCCUUUUAUGGGGGAAGAGAAAAAGGACGGUACCCCAUGAAUAAGUCCCGGCUAACUACGUGCUAGCAGCCGCGGUAAAACGUAGGGGACAAGCGUUAUCCGGAUUCACUGGGCGUAAAGAGCGUUGAGGCGGUUCCGUAAGUUGGGCGUGAAAGCUCCGGGCUUAACCCGGAGAUGUCGUUCAAUACUGCGGGGCUUGAGGACAGCAGAGGAAGGUGAAAUUCCCGGUGUAGUGGUGAAAUGCGUAGAUAUCGGGAGGAACACCCGUGGCGAAGGCGGCCUUCUGGGCUGUUCCUGACGCUGAAGGCGAAAGCUAGGGGAGCGAACGGGAUUAGAUACCCCGGUAGUCCUAGCUGUAAACGAUGGAUGCUGGGUGUGGGGGGUGUAAAUUCCCUCUGUGCCGAAGCAAACGCGUUAAGCAUCCCGCCUGGGGACUACGGCCGCAAGGCUAAAACUCAAACGAAUUGACGGGGGCCCGCACAAGCAGCGGAGCGUGUGGUUUAAUUCGAUGCUACACGAAGAACCUUACCUGGGUUUGACAUGCACGUGGUAGGGAACCGAAAGGGGACCGACCUUCGGGAGCGUGCACAGGUGCUGCAUGGCUGUCGUCAGCUCGUGCCGUGAGGUGUCGGGUUAAGUCCCGUAACGAGCGCAACCCUUGCCCUUAGUUACAAGUGUCUAAGGGGACUGCCCGGGACAACUGGGAGGAAGGUGGGGAUGACGUCAAGUCAGCAUGGCCUUUAUAUCCAGGGCUACACACACGCUACAAUGGCCAGUACAGAGGGUAGCGAAGCCGCGAGGUGAAGCCAAUCCCAGAAAGCUGGUCCCAGUUCGGAUUGGAGUCUGGACCU